GGAUUACUUUAGUACGGCGAGUGAACCGGGAAAAGCUCAAAUUUGUAAUCUGGCUGUCUUCGAUAGUCCGAGUUGUAAUCUAUAGACGUGUUUUCCGUGCUGGAUCGUAUCUAAGUCCCUUGGAACAGGGUAUCAAAGAGGGUGACAAUCCCGUGCUUGAUACGACGACCAGUGCUCUGUGAUACACGUUCUACGAGUCGAGUUGUUUGGGAAUGCAGCUCAAAAUGGGUGGUAAAUUCCAUCUAAAGCUAAAUAUUGGCGAGAGACCGAUAGCGAACAAGUACCGUGAGGGAAAGAUGAAAAGCACUUUGGAAAGAGAGUUAAACAGUACGUGAAAUUGUUGAAAGGGAAACGAUUGAAGUCAGUCGUGUUCUUCAGAUUCAGCUGGUUCUUCCAGUCUACUUCUGUUGAACGGGUCAACAUCAGUUUUGUCCGGUGGAUAAAGGUAGUAGGAAUGUGACUCCCCCGGGAGUGUUAUAGCCUAUUAUUGCAUACACUGGGUGAGACUGAGGACUGCAGCUCGCCUUUUGGCCGGUCUUCGGACACGUUCGAGCUUAGGAUGUUGACAUAAUGGCUUUAAACGACCCGUCUGAA
RNAcentral lists this ribosomal RNA (594 nucleotides) under Cutaneotrichosporon jirovecii. Its description in RNAcentral is "eukaryotic LSU rRNA". It matches the Rfam family "Eukaryotic large subunit ribosomal RNA", at positions 72 to 657 of the family's 3401-position model. Lineage: Eukaryota; Fungi; Basidiomycota; Tremellomycetes; Trichosporonales; Trichosporonaceae. The record is from RNAcentral.